AGUGAACGCUGGCGGUAGGCCUAACACAUGCAAGUCGAACGGCAGCACAGUAAGAGCUUGCUCUUACGGGUGGCGAGUGGCGGACGGGUGCGGAAUACAUCGGAAUCUACUUUUUCGUGGGGGAUAACGUAGGGACACUUACGCUAAUACCGCAUACGACCUACGGGUGAAAGCAGGGGAUCUUCGGACCUUGCGCGAUUGAAUGAGCCGAUGUCGGAUUAGCUAGUUGGCGGGGUAAAGGCCCACCAAGGCGACGAUCCGUAGCUGGUCUGAGAGGAUGAUCAGCCACACUGGAACUGAGACACGGUCCAGACUCCUACGGGAGGCAGCAGUGGGGAAUAUUGGACAAUGGGCGCAAGCCUGAUCCAGCCAUACCGCGUGGGUGAAGAAGGCCUUCGGGUUGUAAAGCCCUUUUGUUGGGAAAGAAAAGCAGCAGGUUAAUACCCCGCUGUUCUGACGGUACCCAAAGAAUAAGCACCGGCUAACUUCGUG
RNAcentral lists this ribosomal RNA (492 nucleotides) under uncultured bacterium. RNAcentral's name for it is "partial 16S ribosomal RNA". It matches the Rfam family "Bacterial small subunit ribosomal RNA", at positions 29 to 507 of the family's 1533-position model. The record is from RNAcentral.